RNAcentral lists this transfer RNA (54 nucleotides) under Trichonephila clavipes. RNAcentral's name for it is "tRNA-Leu". Lineage: Eukaryota; Metazoa; Arthropoda; Arachnida; Araneae; Nephilidae. The record is from RNAcentral.
AUCUAUUUGGCAGAUUAGUGCACUAAGUUUAAGCCUUAGAAAUAAAAUUAUAUC